AUACGGAGGGUGCAAGCGUUAUCCGGAAUCACUGGGUUUAAAGGGUGCGUAGGCGGCCUGGUAAGUCAGAGGUGAAAUACACGAGCUUAACUGGUGAAUUGCCUUUGAAACUAUCAAGCUAGAAUUAUGUUGAGGUCAGCGGAAUGAGUCAUGUAGCGGUGAAAUGCAUAGAUAUGACUUAGAACACCAAUUGCGUAGGCAGCUGGCUAGGCAUUAAUUGACGCUGAGGCACGAAAGCGUGGGGAGCGAACAGGAUUAGAAACCCCAGUAGUCC
This 274-nucleotide ribosomal RNA is filed under the name uncultured bacterium. RNAcentral's name for it is "partial 16S ribosomal RNA". It matches the Rfam family "Bacterial small subunit ribosomal RNA", at positions 523 to 796 of the family's 1533-position model. The record is from RNAcentral.